UGACUGUGCCAAGGCUGAGAUUAUAUUCUCAUGGGCUGAAAUUGUCAUACGCUUAUUCUCUGCUAUGUUCCAUAGCUCCAAAGACUGCAGCCGCAAUUUUUUUUAAAGACAUAAAAUGGAAUAAUUAUAAAUAUGUCCACAAUCAUGCAAUAGGGAUGGCUAUAAGAUAAAAAAAUUAUAUAAUGAAACCAAUGUAUGUACAAUGAUUUCAUUGUAACAGUUGAUUGUGGUGAGUCUCACGUGGAUUCCACCAUGAUGAAUGAUUAUAACUAAACUGUUGUACGUACAAUGUUUGAACCGAAUAAAAAUUCCUACAAUAUAAUAUGAAUAUAAUGCAAAAUUGAUUCACCUGCUGAAGGAAACCUGAAUCAUGAAUCUUUAUUUUUAAAGUGGAGAACAAAGUAGGCUACGAAUAACAUCAUAGCAACAGAUAUCAAAAUGCAAAAGAUCAACUCAAGACUCGAUCUUAUAGAAAAUGGACAGCCUUAGUUUUACAGAAAUUUUGGGACAACAAAAAUUCAUUUUGUAUUACCAUGGACAUGUACAAACAGCCAUUUCCCAUAACUAGGCUUGCUGAUAUUCAGAAAUAUUGAUAAACCAUAUACUACAUCCAGACAAAUAUCACGUGCCUGUGCGUAAACGAUGAAAGACAAGCAUCAUCAAGCCUCCUAUUAUAAUAUGGAAAUUUCAUCAUAAAAGUCUGCCCAUUUAUGUUUAUAAAGUAAUCUUACAGAGUAGACAUACCGAGAUUCCUCCGAUCACCAGGAG
Molecule: unclassified non-coding RNA, 768 nt
Filed under: Hevea brasiliensis (rubber tree)
Lineage: Eukaryota; Viridiplantae; Streptophyta; Magnoliopsida; Malpighiales; Euphorbiaceae
Source: RNAcentral